This 314-nucleotide ribosomal RNA is filed under the name uncultured bacterium. Its description in RNAcentral is "bacterial SSU rRNA". It matches the Rfam family "Bacterial small subunit ribosomal RNA", at positions 28 to 334 of the family's 1533-position model. The record is from RNAcentral.
GAUGAACGCUAGCUACAGGCUUAACACAUGCAAGUCGAGGGGCAGCAUGAAUUUACUUCGGUAGAUUUGAUGGCGACCGGCGCACGGGUGCGUAACGCGUAUCCAACCUUCCCGUUACUCCGGGAUAGCCUUCCGAAAGGGAGAUUAAUACCGGAUGGUGUUCAAGUGGUGCAUAUUAUUUGAACUAAAGAUUUAUCGGUAACGGAUGGGGAUGCGUACCAUUAGAUAGUAGGCGGGGUAACGGCCCACCUAGUCACGAUGGUUAGGGGUUCUGAGAGGAAGGUCCCCCACACUGGAACUGAGACACGGUCCAG